ACCCUCUUGUAGUUCAUAAGCAUGAUGAUUGCCUCGUGUGUAGGGUAUGUCUCCCUCUAACGUUGUUAAGACGCCAGCACGUUACCUGUCUGAUA
Molecule: small nucleolar RNA, 95 nt
Filed under: Nomascus leucogenys (northern white-cheeked gibbon)
Lineage: Eukaryota; Metazoa; Chordata; Mammalia; Primates; Hylobatidae
Description: Small nucleolar RNA U13
Rfam family: Small nucleolar RNA U13
Source: Rfam by way of RNAcentral